This is a non-coding RNA of Sus scrofa (pig), 2884 nucleotides long. The record is from RefSeq and is a predicted model, not a curated record. Lineage: Eukaryota; Metazoa; Chordata; Mammalia; Artiodactyla; Suidae.
AGCAAAAAAAAAAAAAAAAAAAAAAUCAAGCCAUUAAACCACACCCCCCCCACCACCCUCAACUGGAACAGACUUCUUCAGUCUUAUUGGCUGGGACUGGGUCACAUGACCCCCUCUGGUGAGGGGGCAGGAAAGCAAAGCGGUCAGCUUUCCGGCUUCAGGGUGGACGUUGUCCAGGGAAAGGCUGUUGGAAGUAACUGAUUGGACCACCAAGAGUGUCACUGGAUGUGGGUACGUUUAAGUCACUCAUGGGGUUCUCAUGUGACCCAGGGGGCCUGCCUCACUGGCAAACAAGAUCCCCUCUCUGCCACGUGUAACCCACUCUGAGCGCUGCCGGAAAGGGACUUCAUUGGCAUCUUCCUCCCGUCACCCGACAGCGACAGCCCGUUCCUGGGAAUGCUGAGCAAUGCUGUGUGACACGCCCGUCUGAACUCCUUGGUUGCAGGUGGCAGGAACCCAACCCUCAGCGGCUUAAGUGAAAAAGGGAUUAUUUGGGGAGUUCCCUCGUGGCUCAGCAGAUGAGGGGUUCAGCAUUGUCACUGCUGUGGCUUUGGUUACAGCUCCGGUACGGGUUCAGUCCCUGACCCAAGUGCACACACACAGACACACACACACCCCACCCCCCAGGGCAGGAAUCAUGCUCGAGGCUGCGUCUUCAGGCCUUGAUCACUAUCAGCUGUGUCCUCACCUGAUUUCAAUGAGCCAAAGAGCCUUUGGCUGCGUCCGUCCCUCCGAGGCAUGUGGAAGUUCCCAGGCCAGGGAGCAAACCCACGCCACAGCAGGCACAUGCUGGAUCCUUAACCUGCCACCAAAGGAACUCCCAAAGAGCCUUGUUUUUCUUACACCUCAGCCCCUAAAAUCAAAUUAACCACCCCAUCCAGGUCUCAGAAAAGCAGCACCCGUCCCAGGCCAGAGGGAAAUCCGUUGGAGGCAUCUAUCAACCAGACAGACACCCUCGCAGGGGCCUGCCCAGCACUAUCCACUGUACCAGCCAACCAGCACUUCCGAGGCUCCGGUGCAGCCUGUCUGCAUCAUCAAAACAGUGUGUGCACUGCCUGGAAAAUGAGCACCAAGCUGCAGUUUUGCUGCGGGCCCUUCAGCCCAGCCCCAGAGAGAGCACCCCCAGCUGCCGGUGGCAGUGGCACCACGGCCUCGAGCAGGGUGCUUCUUCACUCAAACGCGAGGGUCCCCGGGUGUCAGCCGUGUGUCUGGAUCCACUGCUCAGUCUGCGUCUGGACACAGUCCCUCCAGGCGCCGUGUCACUGAGCUUCCUCUGGAGCUCAGGCCAGGGAGGGCCGCUCCACAGGGAUCAGCGACAUUCGUAUUGUUUGUAUCGUCCAGGGUAAGGGGACUAAGCUUUGUUUUUUAUUUAUUUUUUGGCCUCAUGGUACAGCAGCUUGAUGUGUGAGAUUUCAGUUCCCAGGCCAGGGUUCAAUCCCGGGCCUCAGACGUGAAAGCACUGAAUCCUAACCACUAGGCCACCAGGGAACUCCCAAGUGGACUAAGGUUUAAACUUACUGUCUGGAGUUGCCGUCGUGGCUGAGCGGGUUAAGAACCCAACCUAGUGAGGAUGCAGGUCUCGCCCAGUGGGUUAAAGAUCCCGUGUGGCUGUGGCUGGGGUGCAGGCCGGCAACAGCAGCUCCUAUUUGACCCCUAGGCUGGGAACUUCCCUACGCCACAGGUGCGGCCCUAAAAAGAAAAAUAGAAUAAUUAUACUGAGCGUCUGUGACUAGUGAAGCAGCCACCCCCCCCCCCCCGAUGAGGGCAAGGGUCGCAGAAUGUCGCUGCUCGUUCCCUUGACUUCCCACUAGGUCCUCAUGGCACCACCAUCUCCCCAGGGCCCACCGGGGCCCUGCCUGGGUGCAGCUGACAGAACCACACCACAGGGCCGAGACCAAAUGCGAGAAGGGCUGGGGGAGAAAGACGUGCGAUUCUCUGAGCUCCUAGAUGAGGCGGCACCUGCCCACGGCAGAGGCCAGGCCAGACCGUUUGCAAAAGCAUGAGGCGUGCAGACGGGAGGGGUGGGAGGGCUUUAGCGGUGAGGUCUUGGGAGAGUGAUGGUGGCACACGAGUGGGCCAGGAGACUGUGCUGAGCAGUCCGGACUGGACCCUGAGGUCAGCAUGGACAGUGGGAGGGGUUGAGCCAUGCAAGGACAGGCACACCUGGCACCUGGGAAGGUCCCCCUGGCCUCUGGUCAGACAUGGCAGGUGGGGCGUUUGUAUUCCCUCCGCUCCUUCCGGAGCCCCCCACAUGGCGGUACAGAUUCAGCACAUGUGUCUCCCACGGCCACAGAACAAAAGAGAGAGGAGGAAGCGGCAGGAGACGUGAACCACAUCCUGGGUACCGGGAAGCAGAUGGACAGGCAGCAGCUGGCCUUAAUCAUCUCUGUUCACAGCCCCCAGCCAGCGCAGAGCAAGACAGGGUGGUACUGGAGUUCCCUCAGGGCCCAGCGGGCUAAGGAUCCCCCGCUGUCGCUGCCGCAGCUCAGGUCACUUCAGUGUUCACUGGUCCAGGAGCUUCCACACGCCACCUGCGCAGCAAAACUAAAUAAAUAAACGGCAACCAGGACUUGUGGUCUGUUGCUGAGCAGUUCUGACCCCUGCUCUCAGACUCUACCUGUCUUGGAAGUUGGUCAGUCUCUAGAGCAGAACCUUUCAGAUGAGGAGACUGAGGCACAGAGAAGUUGAAUCAUCUCCCCAGAGACACACAGCCCGAGGACACAGCAGGGCGUCGAAACAUAAAGACAUGAAAAGAGUGAGCUGAGGUGUAGAUUGCGACGGCUCGGAUCCCGGGUGGCCGUGGCUCUGGUGUAGGCUGGCAGCCGUAGCUCUGAUUCAACCCCUAGCCUGGGAACCGCCCUAUGCCGCGGGUGUGGCCCUCAAA